RNAcentral lists this long non-coding RNA (1230 nucleotides) under Salarias fasciatus (jewelled blenny). RNAcentral's name for it is "lncRNA (ENSSFAG00005003558.1)". The record is from RNAcentral. Lineage: Eukaryota; Metazoa; Chordata; Actinopteri; Blenniiformes; Blenniidae.
CUUCUCAGAUUUAAAGGAGCAAACUGCUGUUUUCUGCCCCUCAGACCCCCUCAGACCCCCUCAGACCCUAUCAGACCCCCUCAGACCCCCUCAGACUGGCCUCUCAGACACCCUGCUGACCCCUCAGACACCUUAAAGCCCCCUGCUGGCCCCUCAGACCCCCCGCUGGGCCUUCAGACCCCCCGCUGGGCCCUCAGACCCCUCAGACCCCCUGCUGGGCCCUCAGAUCCCCGGCGCUGGGCCCUCAGACACCCUCAGACCCCCCGCUGGGCCCUCAGACCCCCUUCAGACCCCCCACUGGGCCCUCAGACCCCCUUCAGACCCCCCGCUGGGAACUCAGACCCACCCGCUGGGCCCUCAGACACCCUCAGACCCCCCGCUGGGCCCUCAGACCCUCCCGCUGGGCCCUCAGACCCCCCGCUGGGCCCUCAGACCCCCUCAGACCCCCCGCUGGGCCCUCAGACCCCCUUCAGACCCCCCGCUGGGCCCUCAGACCCUCCCGCUGGGCCCUCAGACCCCUUCAGACCCCCCCCUGGGCCCUCAGACCCCCCCGCUGGGCCCUCAGACCCCCCUGCUGGGCCCUCAGACCCCCCGCUGGGCCCUCAGACCCCCUCAGACCCCCCGCUGGGCCCUCAGACCCCCUUCAGACCCCCCGCUGGGCCCUCAGACCCCCCCGCUGGGCCCUCAGACCCCUUCAGACCCCCCCCCUGGGCCCUCAGACCCCCCGCUGGCCCCUCAGACCCCCCGCCACCCCCCGGCUGGGCCCUCAGACCCCCCCCGCUGGCCCCUCAGACCCCCUUCAGACCCCCCGCUGGGCCCUCAGACCCCCCCCUGCUGGCCCCUCAGACCCCCUUCAGACCCCCCGUUGGGCCCUCAGACCCCCCGCUGGGCCCUCAGACCCCCUUCAGACCCCCCGCUGGGCCCUCAGACCCCCCCCGCUGGCCCCUCAGACCCCCUUCAGACCCCCCGCUGGGCCCUCAGACCCCCCCCCCGCUGGCCCCUCAGACCCCCUUCAGACCCCCCGUUGGGCCCUCAGACCCCCUUCAGACCCCCCGCUGGGCCCUCAGACCCCCCCCCGCUGGCCCCUCAGACCCCCUUCAGACCCCCCGUUGGGCCCUCAGACCCCCCGCUGGGCCCUCAGACCCCCUCAGACCCCCCGCUGGGCCCUCAGACCCCCCGCUGGGCCCUCAGACCCCCCAAGGACCUUUCAAGUCUUUCCAGAAUAAAUGA